RNAcentral lists this ribosomal RNA (253 nucleotides) under uncultured bacterium. Its description in RNAcentral is "partial 16S ribosomal RNA". It matches the Rfam family "Bacterial small subunit ribosomal RNA", at positions 524 to 776 of the family's 1533-position model. The record is from RNAcentral.
UACGAAGGGGGCUAGCGUUGUUCGGAAUUACUGGGCGUAAAGCGCGCGUAGGCGGACGUUUAAGUCAGGGGUGAAAUGCCGGGGCUCAACCUCGGAACUGCCUUUGAUACUGGACGUCUGGAGUUCGGGAGAGGUGAGUGGAAUUCCGAGUGUAGAGGUGAAAUUCGUAGAUAUUCGGAGGAACACCUGUGGCGAAGGCGGCUUUCUGGGCCUUACCUGACGCUGAGACGCGAAAGCGUGGGGAGCAAACAGG